UGGGGAAUAUUGCACAAUGGGCGCAAGCCUGAUGCAGCGACGCCGCGUGAGGGAUGACGGCCUUCGGGUUGUAAACCUCUUUCAGCUCCGACGAAGCGCAAGUGACGGUAGGAGCAGAAGAAGCACCGGCCAACUACGUGCCAGCAGCCGCGGUAAUACGUAGGGUGCAAGCGUUGUCCGGAAUUACUGGGCGUAAAGAGCUCGUAGGCGGUUUGUCGCGUCGUCUGUGAAAUUCUGCAGCUUAACUGCAGGCGUGCAGGCGAUACGGGCAGACUUGAGUACUACAGGGGAGACUGGAAUUCCUGGUGUAGCGGUGAAAUGCGCAGAUAUCAGGAGGAACACCGGUGGCGAAGGCGGGUCUCUGGGUAGUAACUGACGCUGAGGAGCGAAAGCGUGGGUAGCGAACAGG
This 409-nucleotide ribosomal RNA is filed under the name Actinomycetes bacterium. Its description in RNAcentral is "Actinobacteria bacterium partial 16S ribosomal RNA". It matches the Rfam family "Bacterial small subunit ribosomal RNA", at positions 355 to 776 of the family's 1533-position model. RNAcentral also lists the same sequence under 2 other names. The record is from RNAcentral. Lineage: Bacteria; Bacillati; Actinomycetota; Actinomycetes.